Desulfurispirillum indicum S5 is the source of this 234-nucleotide non-coding RNA. Lineage: Bacteria; Pseudomonadati; Chrysiogenota; Chrysiogenia; Chrysiogenales; Chrysiogenaceae. The record is from Rfam.
GGAGCUUACCAUAGUAAUUGUCUGUUUGACUAUGUAGCAGCCGGGCGUGCAUCGGAGUAAUCUUCUGUACGAAGCCCCGUAACUGCGAAGGUGCGAGCCGCAACGCAAGUGAACUCGAUUCGGCCUCGUUAACGCUAAUUGAGAGUGGCCAUCCUGCCGAAUGAGGUGAAGCCUAUAAUCGUUGCAGAAGCAACAGACAAGUGCAUGCAUCGGACUCUCCGGGGUGGUUGGAGG